GGGAGCAAGGCGCGGUACGUGUACCGCGAAGGAGAGUACCCUGAGAAAAAGCAUCGGCUAACUCCGUGCCAGCAGCCGCGGUAAUACGGAGGAUGCGAGCGUUAUCCGGAUUUAUUGGGUUUAAAGGGUGCGCAGGCGGACUGUUAAGUCAGCGGUAAAAUGUCGGUGCUCAACACCGGCCGGCCGUUGAAACUGGCAGCCUUGAGUGAGCGAGAAGUAUGCGGAAUGCGUGGUGUAGCGGUGAAAUGCAUAGAUAUCACGCAGAACUCCGAUUGCGAAGGCAGCAUACCGGCGCUCAACUGACGCUCAGGCACGAAAGCGUGGGUAUCGAACAGGCUUAGAUACCCUGGUAGUCCACGCAGUAAACGAUGAAUGCUCACUGUCCGGGCCGUUUAAGGCCUGG
This 403-nucleotide ribosomal RNA is filed under the name uncultured bacterium. RNAcentral's name for it is "bacterial SSU rRNA". It matches the Rfam family "Bacterial small subunit ribosomal RNA", at positions 442 to 842 of the family's 1533-position model. The record is from RNAcentral.